GCAAAAUCUUGUUAUCCACUGCACGGGGCGGUUAUUCCAAAUACGUCUAAGCCGUACGAUCAAGGUCCCCACUCCGAAAUUUGUAAUUCAUGUGGACCCCAGCCCAAAAACUACUUGGCCGUUAAAUUUCCAAUAUUACCCUUGAACUUCAUAUUAUUCUCAACGUGACCUAGGGCCAUUCCACUAUAAAUCCGCCCUUCUACACCAGCUAUGUUUGCCAAACUUAAGAGCCUCAGGGGCCCUUUAGAAAUAUAAUAAUAAUAUAAAUUUAUUCUCUCUCUCUCUCUCUCUCGAAAUAAUCUCUCUCAAAAAAUGGCUACAUCGUCUAAAAAAUCAAGCGGACCGGUGUUACCAAUAGCGUCUGCGUUCCGGCGAUCGAUCUCUCCGUCUGGUCGGUUCUGCAAUUCGGCGAUGGGGAUUUCAGACGUAUCGUCGUUCGCCUCAUCAUCCUCGUCGUCGUUUACGUAUACUUCGAAUUCAUCGAGUGGUUUCUUCCAGAAUCACAGGUCAUCAUCUCCGACGCGCGUGAACCUUCACGCUAUGUCUUCUUCAUCUCCGACGCCGUCGGUAAGGUUCUCCAUCAACAGAUCUGACUCGACGCGACGUUCCAUGGCGGUAUCGCCACAAAAUCAGGUGGUACGAAAGCGCGAUGGUAACAGUAUGUCGCUGCAGAAGAGGACUUGCUUGUGCUCGCCUACUACCCAUCCCGGAUCGUUCAGGUGCGCUUUGCAUAAGAAUAAUUUUGGUAGCAAUAGUGGGAAUAAUCAUUCUAUAUCAUACUCGCCCAAUCGGUUGAACGCUCGGAGAUCGGCGAUGACGAAUUCUCUUGUGCGGAUCGGAACGGUUGAAGGCGAUUUGGUUAAGCGAGCUUUGGCGGCUCUGAUUCGGCCGUCGUCUCAUCAGCAGCGCCGCCGAGUCGAUUUCCAGCCUCGUCCUAGCCGUUUGUCUAUCAUGUCUAAAGCCGAGGAUCUGUGAGAAGUCUAGUUCUUUGGGUUACAGGUUGGUUCUAUUGAUACGGUUUAGAGAAGAAGUUUACUCUUCAGUGAUUUCCAGCGAAAGGGCCUUGGCCAGAUCUCGGUGGUUAUCGUGCCAAAUUUCCGGCGGGUUUUUGUACUCCGGGCAAUCGGAAACCUUAGCAAUUUUGGAAACAGGAGGAUCUGAAAUUGACUCAGUUGUGUACAUAUGAUUUGCGAAAUGAACGACACAUUUGGACAUUUAUCACAUCCAUACUGCACAAGAAUCUUAACUUAAAAGGGACAGUAUGUUAAGCAAUUUCAUUUAAUUGAACCCUGAAAAAUCUUAUUUCAAAUUAAAAACAAUAUUUAUUCAGAGUUCGUGUGUUCUUUGAGACUUCGAAUUUCGUAUUGGUUUGUUAAGUUCGUUGAAAUCAAUUUAAUCUCGUUCCCCGUGUGUGCUUGCAGCGUUGUGUGUUCCGUCCAGUUAGGCGUUGUGAUUGACGUAUAAUCCAUUCUCCCGUUCGCCGUCACGUUUCCGUUCGUCGUGUAUUCGUCUCCUGUUAAGGUAUUUCGUUAUUUCCUAUUUGUCAUUAUUUUCGUUUAUAAACAUAAUUUAUAUAUUUUGUUUGUUUUAACUGUUAUAUGUUUGUUUUUAAUAAUGUUGCAGCUUGCGGGUAUGGACGGAAGACUUCAAAUUUAUUUGAAGUUUGGGACUUGGGACCUUUGAUUUUGGAUUUGGACAAUCGAGUUUUUAAUGUAAAAUAUCUACUUACCUCGACUUUGGAACUGGAAAAGGAUUGGAGUUCGGAAAAAAAUAGUUAAAAAUUGGAUGUCCUAAAAAACUGCUAUUUUAAGGUUAAGCCCUCAUUUGACCUCAUUUUCUUUUUCAUUUUUUUUCUCUUUUAAUUUUAAUCACCUGAUUUUUAAUAAAAUAAUAUUAUAAGUAAAUUAAAAAAAAUUCAUUUUUUUCAACCACAUAUUUUACAAAAAAAAAGCUAUUUCAACAAUUAAAAUUUGAAAAUAAUAAGGACCAAACGGGGCUUAAAAGUUGAAAUUAUACUAUUAACUGAAACAAAAAUUACUAGGUGGAUAAAAAUUACGAACCUCAAAUUCGUUUAAGCUAUGAUCCGUGAGUCUAUUUAAUUUGGAUUAAAAUCUGAUUUUAAUUUAAGUUAAAGUACAAUCGAAUAUUAAUAAUAUUUUUCAUUUAUCUCAUAACUUUUUAAUCACUCAUUUUACAAAUUUCUAUUAUAAUUUAUGAAAAUUUUUAAUUUUACUCCUUAUUAAAUACCCUCUAUAUUUCAAGAUAUAUAUAUUAAAAAAAAAAAAUUAGAACGAAUCUGCAAAAUGGCGCGCCUAUAAAGAAAGAACGAAAUGUUAAAGAGAAGGCAGAUAAAUAAAUAAAGAGGAUUGAUACGAAUAUAGUGGCCUGCUGGACACGCGUAGGUGUGGGGGCAGGAGAGAGGCCGAUGAUUGGAGGAAAGACUUUUUGGGAUGUAUGGAAUCGUUGGAAUAUCGAUGUCGUUUCAGCACUGCAAAUGGACCUUUUCCUUAUCUAGAACCCUAGGGUAGGAGUGGAGGUAACACUGCCACCCAAAUCACUAUUUCUUGACUAGAAAGGAUAGACUGAUUUGGGACCUCCUUCAUUGGAAUAAAAUGGCACCCUAUGCAACCUUUCUUUCAUGUGCUUUUACGAUUCUUGACCCGGAAAAAAAUGCCUUCAAAACAAAUAAUUCUUGAAAACCUAAGGUACUCGUCUAGGGAUGGCAAAUUGGUUCGUCGGCUCAGUGACUUGAGCCGAGCCCUAUCUUGAGGUGUCAAGUAGAGCUCGAGCUGACUCGAAAAAAUAAUCAGCAGCGCACGAUUCCCCUUAAAAGGCAGCACAGGCUACUGCAUAAAUUUAUGUAGUAGCCUGCCGCCUUUGAAUAGACAGCACAGCUGCCUUAGUGAAAAAAAACUCAAGCCGGCUCAACUCGAUAAGGCCUGAACCAAAAACUCGGGUUGAGUCUCGAUUUUUCACGGGCUAAAAAAAUUCGACUCACUUUUGCUUGAGCGAUGCUUGAGCCUCAAGUUUCGGUUCUCGAGCCAUCUUGGCUCGUUGACACUCCUACACUCGUCCCACAUGACGAUGGAGGAAUUAGUGAAAGAACCGGCCAUCUUUCCAAAAUAACCUUUGACCAAGUUUUUUAAAAAAAUGUUUAAAAGCAAAAUAAGCAAUGAAAAGGCACUUUUACCCUUAUUUGUGAAGAGAGAAAAACGUGGUGUACUGUAGCAGAGGACCGACGACCCUGGCAUCAACCAAGAACCCAAAACAUUGGCACUAGAACUCCAUUUCUUUGACUUUGAAGAAGGUAAGCUUUGAUUUUUGACCAAAAAUCAUUUUUCUAUGUAUAUUUAUUGAGAAAUCUUUACAAAAAUGAUUAUAGAUUGUAUUUUGAGCAAAAUGUACGUGUUUUGAAG
This 3416-nucleotide long non-coding RNA is filed under the name Olea europaea subsp. europaea. The record is from RNAcentral. Lineage: Eukaryota; Viridiplantae; Streptophyta; Magnoliopsida; Lamiales; Oleaceae.